Molecule: ribosomal RNA, 493 nt
Filed under: uncultured bacterium
Lineage: Bacteria
Description: bacterial LSU rRNA
Rfam family: Bacterial large subunit ribosomal RNA
Source: RNAcentral
GGGCACACGGCGGAUGCCUUGGCACCAGGAGACGAUGAAGGACGCGGAAACCUGCGAAAAUCCACGGGGAGCUGGACUCGAGCUUUGAUCCGUGGGUGUCCGAAUGGGGCAACCCGGUGGGCGUCAUGGCCCAUCAUCGUACGCUGAAUACAUAGGCGUGCGAAGUCAACGCGGGGAACUGAAACAUCUAAGUACCCGUAGGAAAGGAAAUCAACUGAGACUCCGUGAGUAGUGGCGAGCGAAAGCGGACUAGCCCAAACCGUUGGGGUAACUCAACGGGGUUGUGGGGCUCCGACAUGGGAUCUGGAGGACUAGCAGAACGGCUUGGGAAGGCCGGCCAGAGCGGGUGACAGCCCCGUAUGCGAAAGUCCGAGAGACCCUAGGACGAACCCCGAGUAGGGCGGGGCACGUGGAACCCUGUCCGAAGCUGGGAGGACCAUCUUCCAAGGCUAAGUACUCCCUGGUGACCGAUAGUGAACGAGUACCGUGAGGG